This 446-nucleotide ribosomal RNA is filed under the name uncultured bacterium. RNAcentral's name for it is "bacterial SSU rRNA". It matches the Rfam family "Bacterial small subunit ribosomal RNA", at positions 330 to 796 of the family's 1533-position model. The record is from RNAcentral.
CCCAGACUCCUACGGGAGGCAGCAGUGGGGAAUAUUGCACAAUGGGGGAAACCCUGAUGCAGCGACGCCGCGUGAGCGAUGAAGUAUCUCGGUAUGUAAAGCUCUCUCAGCAGGGAAGAAGGUGACAGUACCUGACUAAGAAGCCCCGGCUAACUACGUGCCAGCAGCCGCGGUAAUACGGAGGAUGCGAGCGUUAUCCGGAUUUAUUGGGUUUAAAGGGUGCGUAGGCGGAAUGCCAAGUCAGCGGUAAAAUCGCGGGGCUCAACCUCGCUCCGCCGUUGAAACUGGCGUUCUUGAGUGGGCGAGAAGUAUGCGGAAUGCGUGGUGUAGCGGUGAAAUGCAUAGAUAUCACGCAGAACUCCGAUUGCGAAGGCAGCAUACCGGCGCCCAACUGACGCUGAAGCACGAAGGCGUGGGUAUCGAACAGGAUUAGAUACCCCUGUACC